CGAAGCCGCAGCUGCCCCAUCCUUUCAGCAUCAACGAAGCAAUUCCAUCAUCAUCUCUCCUCCACUCACUCUCUUUCUUAGCCGAAGAAGCCCACAAACCGAAUCCCCAUCCUUUUUUGGCCCCACGCGUCUGAGCUUCCUCCCCGUUUGGUCAACUUGACUGGAGCUGUGCCGCCCCACCAUCUUCAAUUUCUGCUCCACCUGUUCUUGUAGUCACCAGUUCUUCAUCCCAUCGAAGCCACACCCUCCAUCAUUUGUUUUAUUUCCCAGUCAAACCAGCAGAACCGAUUUUGCUUUGCCUGCCGUUUGUUGACCCGUUGCUCGCAAAUCCCCCACCGAAGCUUCUCCGUGCACCUCGCUGCAGCUCCAUCGAUCCCAUCUCCACGAAGUCUUCAUCCACGCGGCUCCGCGCGUCCAGCAGCAAAUCCGUGGUCACGUCUUCAGUCCAGCGAGUCAACCGAAGAAAUCCAGUCCGCUUGCUGCCACUUGACCGCGCCUGCCCCUAGUUCGGUCCCCCGGACGUCUUCAAUCGGUGCCAUUUGGUUGACCCCGCAAGCCAGCGAAGCCCACUCGAGCUUCAGCCAUCCACGUGCAUAGUUUAAGCGGCCACCGAAGACCAUCGAGCUCUCAUCUCCACGCGUGGUCUUCUCCACGCUCGAGCGACGCCAGCAGCUCCUGCACGUCUUCUUGCUCGGCCCAUCUUCGCUCCUUGGUGUCUUGGCCCAACAGCAGCUUUUGCUGCUUCUUCUCAGCUCAGCAGCCCAGCCCGUGAGCAAGAUCAGUCGUGAAUUUCCAGUCCAUAGUUUGGCCCAACAGUUGGGCCCAUGUCUUCGGCCCAAUUCCAUUGCAAGCUUGAGGCCCACUUGAAUUCAGGCCCUGCAGAAGCCCAUAAAUUUUGUCGCAAGUUCAGCCCGCCACUUGAAGCUUGGCCCAGUUCAGUUUGUUUCAAGCCCAGUCCAACAGAUUCUUUUAGUGUUCGGCCCAAGCCUAGAAUUUCUGCGGGCUUGCAAAGUUUCUUGGCCCGGCCCGAGUGUCUAUCGUCACUACCGAAAUUUUGGGAUUUAGCUAUCGUCGCGUCGCCGUCGCAGUGUUCCGAUCUUCGCUUUGCCAAGAUGGCCGGUGACCGCAAUUUCUUGUUGAUUGUCGUGGAGUAGUCCGUUGAUUUAUUUGAGCUUUAAUUCAUGUCGAAUUGAUUUAAUGGUGCAUUUUGAAGUUAUGUUCUUAAAUAAUUCAAUUUUGGCUAUGUGAUUGAGGAUUGGUCGGGUAUCGGUUAUCAGUAUCGAAAGUGAGUUGGUAAAUCACCUAGAGAAUGUACAUGGCCCAAUGAACUGGAGUGUCACCGGGGAAGGACACGUGGCUCGGUGAUUGGAUAUGUCACCUUGGCGAAAAUGUAACCUUAGAGAAUGCACAUGGCUCGAAGACUCGGUAUGUUCUCCUAGAGAAUGCACGUGGCUCGGUGACAGAGUAUGGCAUCGUAAAAUGGGCACGUGGGCUCAGUGAAUUGAUGCAUCACUUUGGUGAGUUAGCACCUAAGAGAAGGCACGUGGGCUAGGGCAUCGUAAAAAGGGCACGUGGCUCGGUGAAUCGAUGCAUCACCUUGGCAAAAAGGGUCGCCUAAGAGAAUGCACGUGGGCCUAGUGAGUAAGUAUGUCGUCUUGGAAAAGGAGCACGUGAACUCGGGGACUUGGGAUGUCAUCCUGAAGUAUCCAUGUAGGCUCGACGACUGAUUAUUCCAUUGUGGGGAAUGUAUGGUCUGAUUGAUAUGAAAUCGACUAGGUCGAUUGAUCAUUACUUUGAUUUGCUGUUGUGAAUUGAUUGAUUGAAUGGAAAUGACCAUGAGUGGUCUUGUUGGCG
This is a long non-coding RNA of Eucalyptus grandis, 1854 nucleotides long. RefSeq lists it as uncharacterized. NCBI's taxonomy places the organism in Eukaryota, Viridiplantae, Streptophyta, Magnoliopsida, Myrtales, Myrtaceae. The transcript is spliced from 2 exons. The record is from RefSeq and is a predicted model, not a curated record.